UACGUAGGGGGCAAGCGUUAUCCGGAUUUACUGGGUGUAAAGGGAGCGUAGACGGCGAUGCAAGUCUGAAGUGAAAGGCGGGGGCCCAACCCCCGGACUGCUUUGGAAACUGUAUAGCUGGAGUGCAGGAGAGGAAAGCGGAAUUCCUAGUGUAGCGGUGAAAUGCGUAGAUAUUAGGAAGAACACCAGUGGCGAAGGCGGCUUUCUGGACUGAAACUGACGCUGAGGCACGAAAGCGUGGGGAGCGAACAGG
Molecule: ribosomal RNA, 253 nt
Filed under: uncultured Eubacteriales bacterium
Lineage: Bacteria; Bacillati; Bacillota; Clostridia; Eubacteriales
Description: uncultured Clostridiales bacterium partial 16S ribosomal RNA
Rfam family: Bacterial small subunit ribosomal RNA
Source: RNAcentral